Molecule: ribosomal RNA, 163 nt
Filed under: uncultured Gammaproteobacteria bacterium
Lineage: Bacteria; Pseudomonadati; Pseudomonadota; Gammaproteobacteria
Description: partial 16S ribosomal RNA
Source: RNAcentral
UUCUUCUGUCAGUAACGUCACAGCAACGUGCUAUUAACACGCUACCUUUCCUCCUGACUGAAAGUGCUUUACAACCCGAAGGCCUUCUUCACACACGCGGCAUGGCUGCAUCAGGGUUUCCCCCAUUGUGCAAUAUUCCCCACUGCUGCCUCCCGUAGGAGUA